This 580-nucleotide long non-coding RNA is filed under the name Vulpes vulpes (red fox). Its description in RNAcentral is "lncRNA (ENSVVUG00000011254.1)". Lineage: Eukaryota; Metazoa; Chordata; Mammalia; Carnivora; Canidae. The record is from RNAcentral.
AUGAGAGUUACACCGGACAAGGCUGGGCCGUGCUCACAUAUGUAUGGACUGAAUAAAUGUGGCUGCUGGGAGCCUUCUCUGCACCCCUGCCGGUGGAGAAGCAGGUGUCCUCAAGGAAAGGUCAUUUCUAUGACUUCAACCCUCUUAGAGACUCGGACCGAAGCAGAAACAAGAGGCAGUGAGAGCGUUCUCCAAGUAACCAUGCCAAGUUGGACGCGGGGGCCAGAGAAAGGCAAAGUCACUGCCAACAUAAUCAGAAAGAAGUGUCCCUGGCUAGAGACUGGUACAGUGCAUGAGAAGAAAAAAGAUUUCUCUGCAUCUGGAGCAUUUCGGAGCUUCUUUCUCUGCUACUUUUUGACCGUAAAAACCUUCCGUGCCCUUCCGGCCUCUAUGAGAAUGGCAAGAGUUCCCGAGGUUUGCUUUAACCAAUACAUAUCAUCCAACUACCCACAAAUAGUGAUGAAAGGAUGUUAGAAAUGGUUUUGCAGGUGCCAACUGAUUGGAAUUGUAUAGCCAUCAGGGAAUACAAUGGCCCUUCUGUUUUGGAAUAAAUAUUUAAACCUAUAAAUAUCUGUAGGCA